GCAUUUUCUCUGAGACAGCUGCCAUUCUAGUCUCCCAGCCAUUCUUAGGAAGAGACGUGCCUGUCUCUGGGAAGAGGCAACUUCUCUGCAUGUCAGAGGUCUGUUACAUUUCCCAGAAUGGUUCCCAGUGCUGGAGAUAAUUCCUUUUCGGAGAACCUACAUUUCUCACCUGCUGAUUGCAAUUAGCCACUACCAGCUGGGGCCUGGUGUGCAGCUGAAAAGCUAACAAGAAGUGGAGACCACGCGGAACUCAGACAGGGCAUAGGAUGUGCAUAAAUAAGCAACGGUGCCUGUGUUUAUGAGAUGCUCCUGUGAAUUCGAGGCUUCCCCACCCUCUGCAUAACUCUCCCUCUUCUGGCUUUGUGCUGCACACCCCUCCCCUAACUAUAUUUUUUGUCUCUGGUUUUGUAGCCUACGUUUAACAUCACAGUCACGAAUUUACCACUAAGUACAUUUUGUUAGGCAAUAAACAGCCUUGGAAGAAAAAUGAAA
Homo sapiens (human) is the source of this 492-nucleotide long non-coding RNA. RefSeq lists it as uncharacterized. The record is from RefSeq and is a predicted model, not a curated record. Lineage: Eukaryota; Metazoa; Chordata; Mammalia; Primates; Hominidae. The transcript has 2 exons.